Molecule: ribosomal RNA, 420 nt
Filed under: uncultured bacterium
Lineage: Bacteria
Description: bacterial SSU rRNA
Rfam family: Bacterial small subunit ribosomal RNA
Source: RNAcentral
GAAUAUUGGACAAUGGCUGAAAAGCUGAUCCAGCCAUCCCGCGUGAAGGCAGAAGGUCCUAUGGAUUGUAAACUUCUUUUCUCUGGGAAGAAAAGGCGGGUUUCUACCUGCUCUGACGGUACCAGAGGAAUAAGCACCGGCUAACUCCGUGCCAGCAGCCGCGGUAAUACGGAGGGUGCAAGCGUUAUCCGGAUUCACUGGGUUUAAAGGGUGCGUAGGCGGGCUUGUAAGUCAGUGGUGAAAGCCCGGGGCUCAACUCCGGAACUGCCGUUGAUACUGCAAGUCUUGAGUACAGUUGAGGUGGGCGGAAUACAUCAUGUAGAGGUGAAAUUCUUAGAUAUGAUGUAGAACACCGAUUGCGAAGGCAGCUCACUAAAGUGUAACUGGCGCUGAGGCACGAAAGCGUGGGGAUCAAACAGG